Archocentrus centrarchus (flier cichlid) is the source of this 589-nucleotide long non-coding RNA. RefSeq lists it as uncharacterized. The record is from RefSeq and is a predicted model, not a curated record. NCBI's taxonomy places the organism in Eukaryota, Metazoa, Chordata, Actinopteri, Cichliformes, Cichlidae. The transcript is spliced from 3 exons.
CUCGGGUAGAGACUGUGCUGCAUUGUCGCCAGGGUUUUCAGGUAGAGAUGUAGUCUAACGAGUGGUAACUAUCUAAAAGCAUGGAAGACCUGACUGACUUCUUGAGACGAAGAGAAGUCUCUGAGGAAAUAAUACAAACCCUGGAGAAUGAGAAGUGAAUUAUUUUUCCCUCUGUAGAUCGAUGCCAGUGUUAUAAAUCUGAUGUCAGAUGAGGAGCUGAAGACUUAUCUACCAUCAUAUGGUGAUCGCCUAGCAGUAUUUGGAUUUUGCAGACGGCAGGGCAACAGCCAGAAGUCGACGCUUUUUGAACGUCUGAAAACCAAAUUGUCCAAAAGAAAAACAUCUGAAGAUGGCAGCAGCACAGCGCAAGAACAUUCAGAACCAACCCAUAAAAGAAAUGCUCUGAAGACAAAGAGAAAAAUAGAAAUAGGAUGGAUGCAUUAUGAUGAAGAUGCUGAUGUUUUCAAGCAGGUUAGAGCUAGACGAGGAGGAGGGACAAGAAAAAUGGUAAUUUGCAAGGACGCUAAGAAAAGUGACAUAUUACAGGUUGCAAAAGAUCUGUUCUUUCCAAAUGGAGGAAAUGUUCGGG